Molecule: long non-coding RNA, 816 nt
Organism: Magnolia sinica
Lineage: Eukaryota; Viridiplantae; Streptophyta; Magnoliopsida; Magnoliales; Magnoliaceae
Exons: 2
Source: RefSeq, a predicted model, not a curated record
UUUCAUAUCAGGCUCUUCUUUGCCAAGAUGUGUUAUGUGACUAGUGUUUAUAUAGUGCAAUUGUCCCGACUCAUGUAUCAGACAGUUGACUCGAACCCAUUUAUGUAUCAGACAGUUAAUCUGAACUCAUGUUUAGACUGAGUAGUUGUUCCAAUUUGUUUACUCCGAGUAACUGGCCCAGACUCAUGUUUAUACCGAACAAUUGCUUCAGUUUCAUUUUGCUAGAUAGGUGGUCUGUUGGAUCAUCGCUCAAUUCCUAGAAGUGUCGAUUUGCCUGAAUAACUUCAUUGCCUCCACUACUCGCUCACUACUUUACUUGCCACUCAUCACAGCCUGUGCUACUCAUCUUCAUAAACGUGUUACUCUUUAUUUUUUGUUCUUGAAUAAAUGUUUUAUGUAUCACUCCAAACUCAAGUUCUUCUUUUUAGAGCACCUUGAAUUUGAGGAGAUACCUUUAUAUGUGGCAACAAAAAUGGUAUACACAAAGAGAUCUUCUUUCUUCAUACCAUCUACAGAGACGUAUGCUCGAGCUGCCAUACGUUGGAUGGGGUAUGAACCGCGCUGCACGCCCUAUUGGCCGCAUUCUCUUCAGUGGUGUUUGGCUUUCAUAAUCCCAGCCGUUGCUCUUGAUGCUUGGCGUCUACAAUUUGGCAUUAGUGUACGGAGAAAGAUGAAAGAUUAUAUGAAGAACAAACAGCUGAAUGAGCAUUAGCCAUCACUUUUGGAUAUUCUCUAAGUUCAUCUGUAGUUUGCAAACUUAACUUUGAAUGCAUGCAUGUGCUAUUUUAUUGGAUAUUUAAAUUUCUAUUUUCCAUU